UAAAAGUCGUAACAAGGUUUCCGUAGGUGAACCUGCGGAAGGAUCAUUAGUGAAUAUAGGACGUCCAACUUAACUUGGAGUCCGAACUCUCACUUUCUAACCCUGUGCACUUGUUUGGGAUAGUAACUCUCGCAAGAGAGCGAACUCCUAUUCACUUAUAAACACAAAGUCUAUGAAUGUAUUAAAUUUUAUAACAAAAUAAAACUUUCAACAACGGAUCUCUUGGCUCUCGCAUCGAUGAAGAACGCAGCGAAAUGCGAUAAGUAAUGUGAAUUGCAGAAUUCAGUGAAUCAUCGAAUCUUUGAACGCACCUUGCGCUCCAUGGUAUUCCGUGGAGCAUGCCUGUUUGAGUGUCAUGAAUACUUCAACCCUCCUCUUUCUUAAUGAUUGAAGAGGUGUUUGGUUUCUGAGCGCUGCUGGCCUUUACGGUCUAGCUCGUUCGUAAUGCAUUAGCAUCCGCAAUCGAACUUCGGAUUGACUUGGCGUAAUAGACUAUUCGCUGAGGAUUCCAGACUUGUUCUGGAGCCGAGUUGGGUUAAAGGAAGCUUCUAAUCCUAAAGUCUAUUUUUUGAUUAGAUCUCAAAUCAGGUAGGACUACCCGCUGAACUUAAGCAUAUC
This 618-nucleotide ribosomal RNA is filed under the name uncultured eukaryote. RNAcentral's name for it is "eukaryotic LSU rRNA". The stretch from base 203 to 356 matches the Rfam family "5.8S ribosomal RNA". The record is from RNAcentral.